GCUGCGGGCAGCCUGCUACAGCACGAGUCCCACCAUCACCAACCAUCUGAUCUCUCCAGCCCAACUCCUACUCCUCCUGCAUGGCCACCUCCUCCAGGAAGUCCUCCACAACCUUGCUCUGUGGUCUUAAAGCAGCUGCACGACUUUACCCCAUCAUCAUAGGACCAACAGGAGGGUGCGCUCCACCUCAGGCUUCCCAUCCAUGUUGGCUGGAUGAAUGGAAUUAAACUGAACUGGACAGGUGUUCCCGAGAACUGAGACUGGACAGUCAGAGAAAUCAGAGAACGAGAUAGCCCUGCUCUCCGUGAGGUGAGACGCCCUGUGGGGAGAGAGCCAGACCAAAACUCGCUGACAGUUGGGAAUGAGACCAAUAUUGUUCUUCCCGUUUUGCAGACGAGAAAAGUGAGGCUCAGAGAGGCUGGGUCUGCUGUCCACGAUCACCCAGCAGGCGUGGCCGGCCUGAGCCAAAUGCAGUCUGGCCAAAGCACCGCUGAAGCGAACGCUCCGUUGGCUCCCACAAAACUCUGGGGUCCGGCUGUUCCUUCACCUCCUGUACCCUGAGACUCCAUUUGGAGCAGCCCCAGCCCAGGGAAAUCACCGGCGUCUUCCAAAUCCUACUGAAGAUCAAGGACAUCAGCGCAUUCCACAGGACAUCUGUUUGACAUUUGCCUUGUGGGACGGGACGAGGUCGGAGGCGGGUAAGCUCCUUUCUGAUGCCGGUGCUUCGAGGCUCCAGGCUGCACUGGUGGCCGGGCAGCUGGCAGUGCCCACCUGCCCCCUGGUGUGGCACCCCGAGACCUUCGGACCCCAGGUGCCCAACAGCAAUGGCUACACUUCCUGUCCCUACGUGAAGACCUAGAUCUUCGGGUCCAUGGGGGGCAGCUUCACGUGUUUCCUAUUUACUGCUUCAGACCAGCAUGCUGUAAUACAGAC
RNAcentral lists this long non-coding RNA (933 nucleotides) under Chinchilla lanigera (long-tailed chinchilla). RNAcentral's name for it is "lncRNA (ENSCLAG00000025379.1)". Lineage: Eukaryota; Metazoa; Chordata; Mammalia; Rodentia; Chinchillidae. The record is from RNAcentral.